Molecule: ribosomal RNA, 969 nt
Filed under: Bacterium SBOSB-1
Lineage: Bacteria
Description: bacterial SSU rRNA
Rfam family: Bacterial small subunit ribosomal RNA
Source: RNAcentral
CUAUCAUGCAAGUCGAGCGAACAGAUAAGGAGCUUGCUCCUUUGACGUUAGCGGCGGACGGGUGAGUAACACGUGGAUAACCUACCUAUAAGACUGGGAUAACUUCGGGAAACCGGAGCUAAUACCGGAUAACAUAUUGAACCGCAUGGUUCAAUAGUGAAAGGCGGCUUUGCUGUCACUUAUAGAUGGAUCCGCGCCGUAUUAGCUAGUUGGUAAGGUAACGGCUUACCAAGGCAACGAUACGUAGCCGACCUGAGAGGGUGAUCGGCCACACUGGAACUGAGACACGGUCCAGACUCCUACGGGAGGCAGCAGUAGGGAAUCUUCCGCAAUGGGCGAAAGCCUGACGGAGCAACGCCGCGUGAGUGAUGAAGGUCUUCGGAUCGUAAAACUCUGUUAUCAGGGAAGAACAAAUGUGUAAGUAACUGUGCACAUCUUGACGGUACCUGAUCAGAAAGCCACGGCUAACUACGUGCCAGCAGCCGCGGUAAUACGUAGGUGGCAAGCGUUAUCCGGAAUUAUUGGGCGUAAAGCGCGCGUAGGCGGUUUUUUAAGUCUGAUGUGAAAGCCCACGGCUCAACCGUGGAGGGUCAUUGGAAACUGGAAAACUUGAGUGCAGAAGAGGAAAGUGGAAUUCCAUGUGUAGCGGUGAAAUGCGCAGAGAUAUGGAGGAACACCAGUGGCGAAGGCGACUUUCUGGUCUGUAACUGACGCUGAUGUGCGAAAGCGUGGGGAUCAAACAGGAUUAGAUACCCUGGUAGUCCACGCCGUAAACGAUGAGUGCUAAGUGUUAAGGGGGUUUCCGCCCCUUAGUGCUGCAGCUAACGCAUUAAGCACUCCGCCUGGGGAGUACGACCGCAAGGUUGAAACUCAAAGGAAUUGACGGGGACCCGCACAAGCGGUGGAGCCAUGUGGUUUAAUUCGAAGCACCGCGAAAACCUUACCAAUCUUGACAUCUUUGACCCUCUA